Molecule: transfer RNA, 75 nt
Filed under: Moorella thermoacetica ATCC 39073
Lineage: Bacteria; Bacillati; Bacillota; Clostridia; Neomoorellales; Neomoorellaceae
Description: tRNA-Gly
Rfam family: tRNA
About the family: Transfer RNA (tRNA) molecules are approximately 80 nucleotides in length. Their secondary structure includes four short double-helical elements and three loops (D, anti-codon, and T loops). Further hydrogen bonds mediate the characteristic L-shaped molecular structure. tRNAs have two regions of fundamental functional importance: the anti-codon, which is responsible for specific mRNA codon recognition, and the 3' end, to which the tRNAs corresponding amino acid is attached (by aminoacyl-tRNA synthetases). tRNAs cope with the degeneracy of the genetic code in two manners: having more than one tRNA (with a specific anti-codon) for a particular amino acid; and 'wobble' base-pairing, i.e. permitting non-standard base-pairing at the 3rd anti-codon position.
Source: RNAcentral
AGCGGAAGUAGCUCAGUGGUAGAGCAUCGGCUUCCCAAGCCGAGGGUCGCGGGUUCGAAUCCCGUUUUCCGCUCC